This 551-nucleotide ribosomal RNA is filed under the name Pseudomonas putida. RNAcentral's name for it is "bacterial SSU rRNA". It matches the Rfam family "Bacterial small subunit ribosomal RNA", at positions 98 to 645 of the family's 1533-position model. Lineage: Bacteria; Pseudomonadati; Pseudomonadota; Gammaproteobacteria; Pseudomonadales; Pseudomonadaceae. The record is from RNAcentral.
GCGGACGGGUGAGUAAUGCCUAGGAAUCUGCCUGGUAGUGGGGGACAACGUUUCGAAAGGAACGCUAAUACCGCAUACGUCCUACGGGAGAAAGCAGGGGACCUUCGGGCCUUGCGCUAUCAGAUGAGCCUAGGUCGGAUUAGCUAGUUGGUGGGGUAAUGGCUCACCAAGGCGACGAUCCGUAACUGGUCUGAGAGGAUGAUCAGUCACACUGGAACUGAGACACGGUCCAGACUCCUACGGGAGGCAGCAGUGGGGAAUAUUGGACAAUGGGCGAAAGCCUGAUCCAGCCAUGCCGCGUGUGUGAAGAAGGUCUUCGGAUUGUAAAGCACUUUAAGUUGGGAGGAAGGGCAGUAAGCUAAUACCUUGCUGUUUUGACGUUACCGACAGAAUAAGCACCGGCUAACUCUGUGCCAGCAGCCGCGGUAAUACAGAGGGUGCAAGCGUUAAUCGGAAUUACUGGGCGUAAAGCGCGCGUAGGUGGUUUGUUAAGUUGGAUGUGAAAGCCCCGGGCUCAACCUGGGAACUGCAUCCAAAACUGGCAGGCUAGA